RNAcentral lists this ribosomal RNA (378 nucleotides) under uncultured eukaryote. Its description in RNAcentral is "partial 18S ribosomal RNA". It matches the Rfam family "Eukaryotic small subunit ribosomal RNA", at positions 592 to 976 of the family's 1831-position model. The record is from RNAcentral.
CAAUAGCGUAUAUUAAAGUUGUUGCAGUUAAAAAGCUCGUAGUUGGAUUUCGGGAUGGCCCGGUCGGUCUGCCGCAAGGUAUGUUACUGGCCGAGCUGUUCUUCUUCGCAAAGACUGUGUGUGCUCUUAACUGAGUGUGCUCAGGAUCUGUGACGUUUACUUUGAAAAAAUUAGAGUGUUCAAAGCAAGCCAGCGCUUGAAUACAUAAGCAUGGAAUAAUGGAAUAGGACUUUGGUUCUAUUUUGUUGGUUUCUGGAACCUUAGUAAUGAUUAAGAGAGACAGUUGGGGGCAUUCGUAUUUCGUUGUCAGAGGUGAAAUUCUUGGAUUUACGAAAGACGAACUACUGCGAAAGCAUUUGCCAAGAAUGUUUUCAUUAA